GCUGGGCAUAGUGGUGUGUGUCUGUAGCCUAGGCUACUCAGAAGGUUGAGGCAGAAGGAUCAUUUGAAUCCAGAAAUUCAAGGUCAGCCUAGGCAACAUAGUGAGAACCUUCCUCUU
RNAcentral lists this small RNA (117 nucleotides) under Marmota monax (woodchuck). Lineage: Eukaryota; Metazoa; Chordata; Mammalia; Rodentia; Sciuridae. The record is from RNAcentral.